GAUGAACGCUGGCGGCGUGCCUAAUACAUGCAAGUCGAGCGAACAGACGAGGAGUUUGCUCCUCUGACGUUAGCGGCGGACGGGUGAGUAACACGUGGAUAACCUACCUAUAAGACUGGGAUAACUUCGGGAAACCGGAGCUAAUACCGGAUAAUAUAUUGAACCGCAUGGUUCAAUAGUGAAAGUCGGUUUUGCUGUCACUUAUAGAUGGAUCCGCGCUGCAUUAGCUAGUUGGUAAGGUAACGGCUUACCAAGGCAACGAUGCGUAGCCGACCCGAGAGGGUGAGCGGCCACACUGGAACGGGGACACGGUCCAGACUCCUACGGGAGGCAGCAGUAGGGAAUCUUCCGCAAUGGGCGAAAGCCUGACGGAGCAACGCCGCGCGAGUGAUGAAGGUCUUCGGAUCGUAAAACUCUGUUAGGAGGGAAGAACGAAUGUGUAAGUAACUAGGCACGUCUUGACGGUACCUAAUCAGAAAGCCACGGCUAACUACGUG
This 497-nucleotide ribosomal RNA is filed under the name uncultured bacterium. RNAcentral describes it as "partial 16S ribosomal RNA". It matches the Rfam family "Bacterial small subunit ribosomal RNA", at positions 28 to 507 of the family's 1533-position model. The record is from RNAcentral.